Molecule: unclassified non-coding RNA, 971 nt
Filed under: Hevea brasiliensis (rubber tree)
Lineage: Eukaryota; Viridiplantae; Streptophyta; Magnoliopsida; Malpighiales; Euphorbiaceae
Source: RNAcentral
AGAACAACGAAAAACAAUUCAAUUUUUUUUCACAGAUAUUUAUACCUGCAAGGCCCAAGACUCAUGGCGAAAAUAAAACCACAAGCACUUUUGCUGCAAAGCAAAAAGAAGAAAGGGCCAAGUGGAAUUAGUGUCCCUACGAUUAUUCUAUAUGGCUUAAUUGUUGCUGUAAUGGUGUUUUUCCUGUUUGCUACUUAUAGACACUGGUCUCGAAGGUCAAUGAUUCAGACACGGGAUGAAUUGUCAACCACUGAGGAUGAAAAUACGUUUAUUGAGCAUAAGAGAUCUGAUGUCAAUGGCCCUACAUAUGCUUCCAUAACCACCUCAAAAGGAUUGAUAAUUGUGGAACUUUACAAGGAUGGUUCUCUUGACAUUGUUGACGAAUUUGUUGAUUUCUGUCAGAAGGGCCACUUCAAGGGGAUGCGAUUUAAUCGUGUUAUAAAGCACUUUGUAAUCCAUGGUAGUAAAGUUGAUAAACCUGAAGGUACAGAAGAUUGGACUUCGAGGGGAAAGCAUUACAGUCGACUGGACACAAGCCUGAAGCACGAAGCAUUUAUGCUUGGUACUUCAAAAACAAAUCAUGAAGGCGAAGGAUUUGAUCUGUUUAUAACAACUGCACCAAUUCCAGAUCUGAAUGACAAGAUCAAUGUAUUUGGGCGUGUAAUAAAGGGAGAGGAUAUCGUGCAGGAAAUUGAAGAGGUAGAUACCGAUGACCAUUAUCGACCCAAAACUCCCGUUCAGAUCAACGAAGUGACUCUGAAAUACAGUACUUGAAGGUUGCAGUGUCCAUAACAUGAAGUUUUUUUUAAACCUCAUUGAACGGCGUCUGCAGCACAAAUGUUUACUUGGGGUCUGGAUUGGAAACCAUCAUUUGCUGAUUUUAAAUCCUCAAUAUUGACAUGACACGACUUGCUAUCGAUGAUUCUGGUGUAAAAAUCUGGAUAUAAUAUUCCAUUUGUAUAAUUUUUUUU